AAUGAAUUGACGGGGGCCCGCACAAGCGGUGGAGCAUGUGGUUUAAUUCGAUGCAACGCGAAGAACCUUACCUGGUCUUGACAUCCACAGAACUUUCCAGAGAUGGAUUGGUGCCUUCGGGAACUGUGAGACAGGUGCUGCAUGGCUGUCGUCAGCUCGUGUUGUGAAAUGUUGGGUUAAGUCCCGCAACGAGCGCAACCCU
RNAcentral lists this ribosomal RNA (202 nucleotides) under Enterobacter cloacae. Its description in RNAcentral is "partial 16S ribosomal RNA". It matches the Rfam family "Bacterial small subunit ribosomal RNA", at positions 904 to 1105 of the family's 1533-position model. The record is from RNAcentral. Lineage: Bacteria; Pseudomonadati; Pseudomonadota; Gammaproteobacteria; Enterobacterales; Enterobacteriaceae. RNAcentral also lists the same sequence under 6 other names.